GGCUGAGCGCUACGGCUAGGAUAGUUUCAAGAAUUUGUUUCUUCAUUAGUUUGUGUUGGUGCCAAACUUACUGCCAAUUAUGUGGCGGAAGACGAUCUGAGGAGAGAAGCCGGAUACUCAGACGCGGCAAUGUGAACUCUAUUUUCUGCCACGUCACCUUGAUAUAUUUUGAUCUCUUAAAUUUAGAUUUUUAAUUUAGUCAGUUAAUAAAGUAAAUUAUUUAAC
This is a long non-coding RNA of Eurytemora carolleeae, 225 nucleotides long. RefSeq lists it as uncharacterized. The record is from RefSeq and is a predicted model, not a curated record. Lineage: Eukaryota; Metazoa; Arthropoda; Copepoda; Calanoida; Temoridae. The transcript has 2 exons.